AUUUGGAUGAGCAUUCAUUUUUGCUUUCAUAAAUUUGAUUUGAGUUUAUUUGAUACUGUAUCAGAAUUUAACUGUUAAUUGAAAAUAAUAUCUGGAUGAUCGAUGGGAAAAAAAUUUAAAGCCCAUGAAUGGAGUUUAGAUAGUUUGUUAAGUGGUGAACAAAGAAUAGAAUUUUAUGUAGUCCAUGCAUAGCGAUUUGGAUGGUGAUUGGUGCAGAUUUUUGUUGGCUUUGAUUCAAAUUGUGGAUG
This 248-nucleotide unclassified non-coding RNA is filed under the name Hevea brasiliensis (rubber tree). The record is from RNAcentral. Lineage: Eukaryota; Viridiplantae; Streptophyta; Magnoliopsida; Malpighiales; Euphorbiaceae.